This 116-nucleotide ribosomal RNA is filed under the name Escherichia coli. The record is from RNAcentral. RNAcentral also lists the same sequence under 2 other names. Lineage: Bacteria; Pseudomonadati; Pseudomonadota; Gammaproteobacteria; Enterobacterales; Enterobacteriaceae.
UCUGGCGGCAGUAGCGCGGUGGUCCCACCUGACCCCAUGCCGAACUCAGAAGUGAAACGCCGUAGCGCCGAUGGUAGUGCGGGGUCUCCCCAUGCGAGAGUAGGGAACUGCCAGAC